ACUUCUGAGGCAACACAAUGUCUUCGCCAGGUCAGCCAAGGGAGCGCUACAGAGGACUGGAAAACGCUGGAGGCCUGGACUUCCUGAUGGUCUUGGUGGGGGUCAGGAGGAGAGCUUGGCCUACCCCGGUGGCGGGGGGCGGGGGGCUGAGUGAGAGAACAGUGGAGGAGGAAGGAAACAGGGCCCUUUUCUUGGAGAACUCCCAGCAGGGGAAAUAGAGGAGAAGGAAGAGGCUUGAACUAGCUUCCACUAAUUAUAGGGUCAGUGACAAUAAUGGCUAACACUCACAGCCACCGACUGUGUGCUAGAUGUGGCGC
Molecule: long non-coding RNA, 317 nt
Filed under: Homo sapiens (human)
Lineage: Eukaryota; Metazoa; Chordata; Mammalia; Primates; Hominidae
Description: HSALNT0396063
Source: RNAcentral